Molecule: ribosomal RNA, 549 nt
Filed under: Salmonella enterica subsp. enterica serovar Galiema
Lineage: Bacteria; Pseudomonadati; Pseudomonadota; Gammaproteobacteria; Enterobacterales; Enterobacteriaceae
Description: partial 23S ribosomal RNA
Rfam family: Bacterial large subunit ribosomal RNA
Source: RNAcentral
GGACACGUGGUAUCCUGUCUGAAUAUGGGGGGACCAUCCUCCAAGGCUAAAUACUCCUGACUGACCGAUAGUGAACCAGUACCGUGAGGGAAAGGCGAAAAGAACCCCGGCGAGGGGAGUGAAAAAGAACCUGAAACCGUGUACGUACAAGCAGUGGGAGCACCCUUUUGGGUGUGACUGCGUACCUUUUGUAUAAUGGGUCAGCGACUUAUAUUCUGUAGCAAGGUUAACCGUAUAGGGGAGCCGGAGGGAAACCGAGUCUUAACCGGGCGUUAAGUUGCAGGGUAUAGACCCGAAACCCGGUGAUCUAGCCAUGGGCAGGUUGAAGGUUGGGUAACACUAACUGGAGGACCGAACCGACUAAUGUUGAAAAAUUAGCGGAUGACCUGUGGCUGGGGGUGAAAGGCCAAUCAAACCGGGAGAUAGCUGGUUCUCCCCGAAAGCUAUUUAGGUAGCGCCUCGUGAAUUCAUCUCCGGGGGUAGAGCACUGUUUCGGCUAGGGGGUCAUCCCGACUUACCAACCCGAUGCAAACUGCGAAUACCGGAGAA